Suricata suricatta (meerkat) is the source of this 1888-nucleotide long non-coding RNA. RefSeq lists it as uncharacterized. The transcript is spliced from 4 exons. Lineage: Eukaryota; Metazoa; Chordata; Mammalia; Carnivora; Herpestidae. The record is from RefSeq and is a predicted model, not a curated record.
UUUUAUAGCCUCGGCCCAGCGCGAUGAGCUCACUGCCCCCGUUCUCCAUUGGGCGUGGGUGACGUCGCUCAUUUGCAUCGUGGGGCGGGGCCAAGCCUCUGAUGCCCCUCUAGCUGUCGUUGCCCCGGUGACGCGCGGUAAACCGCACAACAGCGCGCAGCCUUGUGGGUUGACGUCAUGGGGGUGGACCCUGCGCCCGGACCGAUUACCCCGCCCCAGGAGCGCAGUGUAUAACCAAUGCCCCCAGCGCUGCCUCCCGCCAAGGCACGUCCCGGGUGGCGUGAUGAGCCCGGCCACCAGCCGCCUGCCCUCCCCAAGGCCCCGCCCCGCAUCCUCGCGUGGGGCCCCGGAGGGGCGGGGGCGGGGGCGGCGCCGGCCUCGGGGGACCAGUGGGGGUUGGGGCCUGGGUGGAUAAAUAACUCGCUGGCGCCCUCCACUCCACUACAUCUACAAAGUGCCUGCCUUAGCGCGGACCUACAUUCUGGCUCCAUGCAGGCUGGGGGCAGAAGGCCUUUAGGGAGGUGUUCCCGGCGGCUUCCUGGGCAUGUUGUCCAGAUCUGCCUGUCUCACCCCCACCCCAAAUCUCCAGUGGUGUGUUUGCCCCAGAAAGAUGAGGGAGGGGAGAGGAGCACUGCCAGAAGUUGCUGAAAGCGCUUUGAUCCUGAUACUUUUCACUGAGGAGUCUAAAAGUACGGAGUCCGACUUCCUGACUAAAGACUGAGAAACUGAGGCUCAGCAAAUUGUGACCAAGUUCCUGACCUCUUAUUCACCGAGUAGAACCCAGGCCUUCUGCUCUUCGGCAGCCGCCUACAUUUUUACUCUGCAUCUGCCAGGGCCUGCGGUAGGUCCCUAGGCAUGUAGGUCUCUGUGAGACCCCUCUCUGAGCCUAUGCAAUGGGACUAGAUUGGAGGUUAUGGGACCAUGCGUCUCUCCAAGCCAGAGAGCCCUCUGGGACACCCUAGUACUGCUCUUCCAUUUGGACCGACCUUAUGCCCGCCUCAUCAGCCAGGGCAAUAGGAGGCCUCAAUCCAUCAACCAGCCAUAUGCAGUGAACUAGGGGUAACUCCUGUUCUCUCAUUCAUUCUACACAAUCCGAUGAAGCACCUACUGUGAGCCAAGUGAUGGGGACAAACACCUCACCCAGCACCCAGUCUGAAAGAGGAACAACUGCAAGAAGGCUGAAGAGUGCCCCCUCCAUGGAAGGGGCAGGUAGACAAAUCCCUACAAAACCUCCCGAUGAAGUGCCGUACGUCCCAGACCUGUGUCCUGGCAAGUCGCCUCAUAGACGUGGGCCUCAGUUUCUUCAACCGGACAAAGGAGGAAAGCUGACAUUUAACUUCGGGCUCACAGCUCCUGCCUUCGAGAAGGGCGGGGGAGACAAUCUAGAGGCGAGAGAUGCAAGUGGGAGACACUAGCGAGUCCGAAUUCGAAUCCACGGCUGUCCCCCCACCAUCCCAACCCACCCCCGUCACGGUUUUAUCCUCUAGACCUCCGCCCACUCUCGAGCCUCUCCCUCGGAUUCUAACCCCCUCCCCUCUCCUCCCAUCUCCCUCCCCUCCCCCCACUGGCCCCGCUCCGCGCCCCGCGGGGCCGCUAAUUAAAUGCAGAGCUGGGGGGAGGGGCGGCUCGCUGUUAACCCCUUGCCGCCGGGCCUAGGAGGGCUUCCCGCAUCUGAGGGGAAGCGGGAACGCUGCUCAGCCCCCUCCGCUCCUGGCUUAAGGCCCUAGGACUAGCCCAUUUGAUGGACGGGUAAAUCGAGGCUAAGGGGCCAACCCCGAGGUUCUAGACAAGCCCUGAUUAAUCAGGGCCUCCGGAUAGGAGGGCCAGGGCUGGAAACAGCGGAGAGAAAAGGGAGACGGAGAGAAAGGCAGAAGGAGGUGGAAGGAGG